RNAcentral lists this ribosomal RNA (1554 nucleotides) under Salmonella enterica subsp. enterica serovar Senftenberg. Its description in RNAcentral is "bacterial SSU rRNA". It matches the Rfam family "Bacterial small subunit ribosomal RNA". The record is from RNAcentral. Lineage: Bacteria; Pseudomonadati; Pseudomonadota; Gammaproteobacteria; Enterobacterales; Enterobacteriaceae. RNAcentral also lists the same sequence under 3 other names.
AAAUUGAAGAGUUUGAUCAUGGCUCAGAUUGAACGCUGGCGGCAGGCCUAACACAUGCAAGUCGAACGGUAACAGGAAGCAGCUUGCUGCUUUGCUGACGAGUGGCGGACGGGUGAGUAAUGUCUGGGAAACUGCCUGAUGGAGGGGGAUAACUACUGGAAACGGUGGCUAAUACCGCAUAACGUCGCAAGACCAAAGAGGGGGACCUUCGGGCCUCUUGCCAUCAGAUGUGCCCAGAUGGGAUUAGCUUGUUGGUGAGGUAACGGCUCACCAAGGCGACGAUCCCUAGCUGGUCUGAGAGGAUGACCAGCCACACUGGAACUGAGACACGGUCCAGACUCCUACGGGAGGCAGCAGUGGGGAAUAUUGCACAAUGGGCGCAAGCCUGAUGCAGCCAUGCCGCGUGUAUGAAGAAGGCCUUCGGGUUGUAAAGUACUUUCAGCGGGGAGGAAGGUGUUGUGGUUAAUAACCGCAGCAAUUGACGUUACCCGCAGAAGAAGCACCGGCUAACUCCGUGCCAGCAGCCGCGGUAAUACGGAGGGUGCAAGCGUUAAUCGGAAUUACUGGGCGUAAAGCGCACGCAGGCGGUCUGUCAAGUCGGAUGUGAAAUCCCCGGGCUCAACCUGGGAACUGCAUUCGAAACUGGCAGGCUUGAGUCUUGUAGAGGGGGGUAGAAUUCCAGGUGUAGCGGUGAAAUGCGUAGAGAUCUGGAGGAAUACCGGUGGCGAAGGCGGCCCCCUGGACAAAGACUGACGCUCAGGUGCGAAAGCGUGGGGAGCAAACAGGAUUAGAUACCCUGGUAGUCCACGCCGUAAACGAUGUCUACUUGGAGGUUGUGCCCUUGAGGCGUGGCUUCCGGAGCUAACGCGUUAAGUAGACCGCCUGGGGAGUACGGCCGCAAGGUUAAAACUCAAAUGAAUUGACGGGGGCCCGCACAAGCGGUGGAGCAUGUGGUUUAAUUCGAUGCAACGCGAAGAACCUUACCUGGUCUUGACAUCCACAGAACUUUCCAGAGAUGGAUUGGUGCCUUCGGGAACUGUGAGACAGGUGCUGCAUGGCUGUCGUCAGCUCGUGUUGUGAAAUGUUGGGUUAAGUCCCGCAACGAGCGCAACCCUUAUCCUUUGUUGCCAGCGAUUAGGUCGGGAACUCAAAGGAGACUGCCAGUGAUAAACUGGAGGAAGGUGGGGAUGACGUCAAGUCAUCAUGGCCCUUACGACCAGGGCUACACACGUGCUACAAUGGCGCAUACAAAGAGAAGCGACCUCGCGAGAGCAAGCGGACCUCAUAAAGUGCGUCGUAGUCCGGAUUGGAGUCUGCAACUCGACUCCAUGAAGUCGGAAUCGCUAGUAAUCGUGGAUCAGAAUGCCACGGUGAAUACGUUCCCGGGCCUUGUACACACCGCCCGUCACACCAUGGGAGUGGGUUGCAAAAGAAGUAGGUAGCUUAACCUUCGGGAGGGCGCUUACCACUUUGUGAUUCAUGACUGGGGUGAAGUCGUAACAAGGUAACCGUAGGGGAACCUGCGGUUGGAUCACCUCCUUACCUGAAAGAAGC